This is a small nuclear RNA of Otolemur garnettii (small-eared galago), 102 nucleotides long. Lineage: Eukaryota; Metazoa; Chordata; Mammalia; Primates; Galagidae. The record is from Ensembl.
GCUUGUUUGGGCAAUGCGUGUACUAAUAUUGUACCGAUACAGAGAUCAGCAUGGCCCCUGAACAAAAAUGACAUGCAAAUUCGUGAAACAAUGACGUUUCCA